GCCUACAGCCACACCACCCUGAGAACGCCCAAUCUCGUCUGAUCUCGGAAGCUAAGCAGGGUUGGGCCCAGUUAGUACUUGGAUGGGAGACUGCAUGGGAAUACUGGGUGCCGUAGGCU
This is a ribosomal RNA of Indicator indicator, 119 nucleotides long. NCBI's taxonomy places the organism in Eukaryota, Metazoa, Chordata, Aves, Piciformes, Indicatoridae. The record is from RefSeq and is a predicted model, not a curated record.